This 501-nucleotide ribosomal RNA is filed under the name uncultured bacterium. RNAcentral's name for it is "partial 16S ribosomal RNA". It matches the Rfam family "Bacterial small subunit ribosomal RNA", at positions 30 to 523 of the family's 1533-position model. The record is from RNAcentral.
AUUGAACGCUGGCGGCAUGCCUUACACAUGCAAGUCGAACGGCAGCACGGGAGCAAUCCUGGUGGCGAGUGGCGAACGGGUGAGUAAAGUAUCGGAACGUGCCCAGUCGUGGGGGAUAACGUAGCGAAAGUUACGCUAAUACCGCAUACGAUCUAUGGAUGAAAGCGGGGGAUCGCAAGACCUCGCGCGAUUGGAGCGGCCGAAAUCAGAUUAGGUAGUUGGUGGGGUAAAGGCUCACCAAGCCGACGAUCUGUAGCUGGUCUGAGAGGACGACCAGCCACACUGGGACUGAGACACGGCCCAGACUCCUACGGGAGGCAGCAGUGGGGAAUUUUUGGACAAUGGGCGAAGGCCUGAUCCAGCCAUGCCGCGUGCAGGAUGAAGGCCUUCGGGUUGUAAACUGCUUUUGUACGGAACGAAAAGGUUUGGCCUAAUAAGCUGAGCUCAUGACGGUACCGUAAGAAUAAGCACCGGCUAACUACGUGCCAGCCGCCGCAGUAA